RNAcentral lists this ribosomal RNA (499 nucleotides) under uncultured bacterium. Its description in RNAcentral is "partial 16S ribosomal RNA". It matches the Rfam family "Bacterial small subunit ribosomal RNA", at positions 28 to 507 of the family's 1533-position model. The record is from RNAcentral.
GAUGAACGCUGGCGGCGUGCCUAAUACAUGCAAGUCGAGCGAAGUUUUUCUGGUGCUUGCCCUAGAAAAACUUAGCGGCGAACGGGUGAGUAACACGUAAAGAACCUGCCUCAUAGACUGGGACAACUAUAGGAAACGAUAGCUAAUACCGGAUAACAGUAUUUCUCGCAUGAGAGAUAUUUAAAAGUUGGUUAUGCUAACACUAUGAGAUGGCUUUGCGGUGCAUUAGCUAGUUGGUGGGGUAAAGGCCCACCAAGGCGACGAUGCAUAGCCGACCUGAGAGGGUGAUCGGCCACACUGGAACUGAGACACGGCCCAGACUCCUACGGGAGGCAGCAGUAGGGAAUCUUCCACAAUGGGCGAAAGCCUGACGGAGCAACGCCGCGUGAGUGAAGAAGGAUUUCGGUUCGUAAAGCUCUGUUGUUAGGGAAGAAUGGAUAUGUAGUAACUCUACAUGUAAGUGACGGUACCUAACCAGAAAGCCACGGCUAACUACGUG